GACGAACGCUGGCGGCGUGCUUAACACAUGCAAGUCGAACGGAAAGGCCCUGCUUUUGUGGGGUGCUCGAGUGGCGAACGGGUGAGUAACCCGUGAGUAACCUGCCCUUGACUUUGGGAUAACUUCAGGAAACUGGGGCUAAUACCGGCUAGGAGCUCCUGCUGCUUGGUGGGGGUUGGAAAGUUUCGGCGGUUGGGGAUGGACUGGCGGCUUAUCAGCUUGUUGGUGGGGUAGUGGCUUACCAAGGCUUUGACGGGUAGCCGGCCUGAGAGGGUGACCGGCCACAUUGGGACUGAGAUACGGCCCAGACUCCUACGGGAGGCAGCAGUGGGGAAUAUUGCACAAUGGGGGGAAGCCUGAUGCAGCAACGCCGCGUGCGGGAUGACGGCCUUCGGGUUGUAAACCGCUUUCGCCUGUGACGAAGCGUGAGUGACGGUAAUGGGUAAAGAAGCACCGGCUAACUACGUG
This 468-nucleotide ribosomal RNA is filed under the name uncultured bacterium. RNAcentral describes it as "partial 16S ribosomal RNA". It matches the Rfam family "Bacterial small subunit ribosomal RNA", at positions 28 to 507 of the family's 1533-position model. The record is from RNAcentral.